UUGACUAAAUUAUCUAGCCUUUCUGUUGCUUGUUUUCCUCAUCUGUAAAAUGGGUACAGUAAUAUCCACCCGAUGGUUGUUGCAAGGAUUAAAUGAGUUAAUACAUAUAAAAUGCCUAAGAAUACAUUUUAGAACAGUGCAUGGUAUUUAGUAAGCUCAAGAAAUGUUAGCUAUUAUUAAGUAGUUAUAGCUGCCCAAAGAUGCAGUGGGCUGCCCUGGGGUGGUGAGGACAGGGUGGGGUAGGCAUCCAGGGGCAAGUUCCCCUACACUAGAGAUGCUCACACUUAGGCAGCCUCCUAGGAAGGCUCAAGUGCUGGGUGGAUGGGUGGACAAGAUGCCCUUUCAGAGUUCUUCCAUCCUGAGAGUCAGUGAUGACGCGGUAGUCACCUCAGGGUCAAAGCAAUGCCCUGCCAAGAAAUGUAUUUGUUGUUUGCAGUUUGUUUUGGUAUUCACCCUAUCGACUUCAGAUUUUGAGCUCCUGCUCCAAAGACUGUCAUUCUUAUGCUGUGACCUUCCUUUGGUAGGAGCCUGUCACUCUGCUGGGCCAGAUUGGCUGUGAUAGCAACGGGAAGCUGAACAACAAGUCAGUGAUUCUCGAGGGAGACCGGGAACAUUCCUCGGGUGCUCAAAUUCCAGUGGAUUUAUCUGAGCUUAAGGAAUAUUCUCUGUUUCCUGGACAGGUUGUAAUUAUGGAAGGAAUCAACACCACUGGUAGGAAACUUGUUGCCACCAAACUCUACGAGGGUGUGCCACUUCCAUUUUAUCAGCCCACUGAAGAGGAUGCAGACUUUGAGCAAAGCAUGGUCCUGGUUGCCUGUGGACCAUACACCACGUCUGACAGCAUCACGUAUGACCCCCUGCUUGACCUGAUUGCUGUCAUCAACCAUGACCGGCCAGAUGUCUGCAUCCUGUUUGGCCCUUUCCUGGAUGCUAAGCAUGAACAGGUGGAGAAUUGUCUACUGACAAGUCCAUUUGAAGACAUUUUCAAGCAGUGUCUACGAACAAUUAUUGAAGGCACAAGAAGCUCCGGCUCCCACCUUGUCUUUGUCCCGUCAUUGAGAGAUGUGCACCAUGAGCCUGUGUACCCCCAGCCGCCUUUCAGCUACUCCGAUCUGUCUCGAGAGGACAAAAAGCAAGUACAGUUUGUGUCCGAGCCCUGCAGCCUCUCCAUAAACGGAGUGAUCUUCGGCUUGACGUCCACAGAUCUGCUUUUCCACCUGGGGGCCGAGGAGAUCAGUAGUUCUUCCGGAACUUCAGACAGAUUCAGCCGAAUACUCAAGCACAUCUUGACCCAGAGGAGCUACUACCCACUCUACCCGCCCCAGGAAGACAUGGCCAUUGACUAUGAGUCGUUCUAUGUUUACGCACAGCUGCCUGUCACCCCAGAUGUCCUCAUCAUCCCGUCAGAGCUGAGGUACUUUGUGAAGGAUGUCCUCGGCUGUGUCUGUGUGAACCCUGGGCGCCUUACCAAAGGGCAGGUGGGAGGCACCUUCGCCCGACUCUACCUUAGGAGGCCGGCAGCGGACGGGGCAGAGAGGCAGAGCCCAUGCGUUGCUGUGCAGGUCGUCAGGAUCUGAGGCUUCUGUCCUCUGCUGUUCUCUGCUGUGUGGGCCCUUAAAGUCUUAGCCAAGAGCCAAGACAUAGCCCUGUGACAAGGUGAACAGUUGGGUGGGAAAGGAGAGAGGAGCCAGCCAGGGAGGGGCAGCUGCAGUGACCAGGCCCAGCAGGGAGGACUUGUGCAGCCGGGCCUGCCUGUGAGUGGUGCCUCUCCUGGAAGGAAGCUCUUGCUUCUCAGUCCAUGCUCCAUGUCCAGAAGUAAGCCAGCUGUGGAUCCCGCCCACUCAGAAAAGGCGAGAAGGCUCUGUGAUUUUCUACAUGAAUCAAACACAGAAACAACUUUUGGAGAAAUUAAAUUCUGAGUGUG
Molecule: small RNA, 1924 nt
Filed under: Pan troglodytes (chimpanzee)
Lineage: Eukaryota; Metazoa; Chordata; Mammalia; Primates; Hominidae
Description: retained intron
Source: RNAcentral